Molecule: long non-coding RNA, 716 nt
Organism: Nematolebias whitei (Rio pearlfish)
Lineage: Eukaryota; Metazoa; Chordata; Actinopteri; Cyprinodontiformes; Rivulidae
Exons: 3
Source: RefSeq, a predicted model, not a curated record
CUGGACGCGAGUGGGAGGCCGCCUGCUGGAUGGCAGCAUCGACCGAGAGGGGAAAGUGCUGGUUCUGGAGAGAGUGCCAGCAGAACUUAACGGAUCCAUGUAUCGCUGCACAGCCCAGAAUCCUCUGGGUUCCACAGAUACACACACCCGUCUCAUAGUUUUUGAAAAUCCAAGCAUGAUGAAAAACACACACCAUCCAAACAACAAAGCUUCCGCCGUGGACGUCCUUGGACUGACUUGGAUUGCACUUCUUGUCACAGUUACAGCGGAACUGACGUGAAACCUGAACUUCAAGUCACUCUCUUUCACCAAUAUACACACAUGUAUGCCCCUACAGUACAAAACAUCUGCAUAUGCACACAAACACACACACACAUAUAGUGCAUAAACUCUCCGUAGUCCUGAAAGCCUUCUCCAGUCAUCAACAGACCCUUCAUAUGCCGCUCAAACAGGAAACGGUGACACCAAAUGAUGGUCCGUCACUGUUUUUUAAACAAAAACCAGUCAAGAUAAUAUAUAAAGGACAAUGUGACGAACAUGACAGUCACUUCUAUAUAGCCCUGCCCUGUUACCUUUUUUUGUUGUUUAAUUUUUGUUUUUGUUUUCCCACAUCUGCCUGUUGAUGAAUAAAAUCAAUUGUUUUGAAACAGAAAAGAUAAAAAAAGCAUUUGGACUUUUUAUUUUUUAAUGAGUCAUAAUGUGCUUGGUGUUUAGUG